Molecule: non-coding RNA, 74 nt
Organism: Dipodomys ordii (Ord's kangaroo rat)
Lineage: Eukaryota; Metazoa; Chordata; Mammalia; Rodentia; Heteromyidae
Source: Rfam
GGGAAUGUGGCUCAGUCAGUGGUAGAGUGCUUGCCUUGCAUGCAUGAGGCCCUGGGUUCGAUUCCUCAGCACCA